GCUCCAAUAGCGUAUAUUAAAGUUCGCUGCAGUUAAAAAGCUCGUAGUUGGAUCUCGGUAUUAUUGUUGCCUGCUGGCUUUAGAGGCACUAGCUGGCCUAGCGGUGCAUGGGUGAGCCUGUGCAGCGUGGGGUCGGCGGCCUUGGGUCGGCGUGGCGGCGGUGAUACCUUUCAGCCAUGUCUGUGGUGCAAUAUCCACAGGUGUAGGCGAGUGCCAGGCGGUGCCCUGCAACUGUGGGGUUCGUCGGCUUGUCUGCAUGCCUACGGAUGCCCUUUAAAAGGUGUCUGUGGGCGGAUGGCACGUUUACUUUGAACAAAUUUGAGUGCUCAAACCAGGCCGAUGCUGCCUGAAAAGUUUUGCAUGGAAUAAUGGAAUAGGACUUCGGUUCUAUUUCGUUGGUUUCUUCGUGAUCCGAAGUAAUG
This 422-nucleotide ribosomal RNA is filed under the name Schyzocotyle acheilognathi. RNAcentral's name for it is "SSU rRNA". It matches the Rfam family "Eukaryotic small subunit ribosomal RNA", at positions 588 to 867 of the family's 1831-position model. Lineage: Eukaryota; Metazoa; Platyhelminthes; Cestoda; Bothriocephalidea; Bothriocephalidae. The record is from RNAcentral.